GGCUGGUCCGAGUGCAGUGGUGUUUAAAACUAAUUGAUCACAACCAGUUACAGAUUUCUUUGUUCCUUCUCCACUCCCACUGCUUCACUUGACUAGCCUUAA
Aotus nancymaae (Ma's night monkey) is the source of this 102-nucleotide unclassified non-coding RNA. It matches the Rfam family "Y RNA". From Rfam's summary of the family: Y RNAs are components of the Ro ribonucleoprotein particle (Ro RNP), in association with Ro60 and La proteins. The Y RNAs and Ro60 and La proteins are well conserved, but the function of the Ro RNP is not known. The record is from Ensembl. NCBI's taxonomy places the organism in Eukaryota, Metazoa, Chordata, Mammalia, Primates, Aotidae.